AGACGUAGGAUGCAAGCGUUGUUCGGAUUUAUUGGGCGUAAAGCGUACGUAGGCGGUUCGCCAAGUCUGGUGUUAAAGCUAGGAGCUCAACUCCUGUGAUGCACUGGAAACUGGCGGGCUUGAGUGCGGUAGGGGAAAGUGGAAUUCCGAGUGUAGCGGUGAAAUGCGUAGAUAUUCGGAAGAACGCCAGCGGCGAAAGCGACUUUCUGGGCCGUAACUGACGCUGAGGUACGAAAGCGUGGGGAGCAAACAGGAUUAGAUACCCUGGUAGUCCACGCCGUAAUCGAUGGUCACUAGGUGUUGGGGGUAUCGACCCCCCCAGUGCCGUAGCUAACGCGUUAAGUGACCCGCCUGGGGAGUACGCACGCAAGUGUGAA
RNAcentral lists this ribosomal RNA (377 nucleotides) under uncultured bacterium. Its description in RNAcentral is "bacterial SSU rRNA". It matches the Rfam family "Bacterial small subunit ribosomal RNA", at positions 523 to 898 of the family's 1533-position model. The record is from RNAcentral.